RNAcentral lists this non-coding RNA (177 nucleotides) under Chloroflexota bacterium. Its description in RNAcentral is "Chloroflexi bacterium 6S RNA". It matches the Rfam family "6S / SsrS RNA". From Rfam's summary of the family: E. coli 6S RNA was the first non coding RNA to be sequenced, but its function was unknown until recently. Lineage: Bacteria; Bacillati; Chloroflexota. RNAcentral also lists the same sequence under 1 other name. The record is from RNAcentral.
CGUACCCUGCUGUGUUCGUGAACGUCGUUUUACGUUUUGAGCCAACACCUAUAAAAACGGGGGCUGUCUCUUCAGAGAGGAAUGCGAUAGCCUACGGGCAAGGCAAACCACUGAGCAGGCUCCCGCCUUACGAAAACAGGGUCAAAACAUCUCGACACACGGCACGGUGGGGUCAGG